CCUACGGGUGGCAGCAGUCGAGAAUCAUUCACAAUGGGGGAAACCCUGAUGGUGCGACGCCGCGUGGGGGAAUGAAGGUCUUCGGAUUGUAAACCCCUGUCAUGUGGGAGCAAAUUAAAAAGAUAGUACCCCAAGAGGAAGAGACGGCUAACUCUGUGCCAGCAGCCGCGGUAAUACAGAGGUCUCAAGCGUUGUUCGGAAUCACUGGGCGUAAAGCGUGCGUAGGCUGUUUCGUAAGUCGUGUGUGAAAGGCGCGGGCUCAACCCGCGGACGGCACAUGAUACUGCGAGACUAGAGUAAUGGAGGGGGAGCCGGAAUUCUCGGUGUAGCAGUGAAAUGCGUAGAUAUCGAGAGGAACACUCGUGGCGAAGGCGGGUUCCUGGACAUUAACUGACGCUGAGGCACGAAGGCCAGGGGAGCGAAAGGGAUUAGAUACCCGAGUAGUC
This 446-nucleotide ribosomal RNA is filed under the name uncultured bacterium. Its description in RNAcentral is "partial 16S ribosomal RNA". It matches the Rfam family "Bacterial small subunit ribosomal RNA", at positions 338 to 795 of the family's 1533-position model. The record is from RNAcentral.